AACAACCACUAGGGGAGCCUUUUUUAGGCUGAGACGUGCAUGAAUGCGCGGACCCUUGGAACCUGAUCCGGAUUAUACCGGCGUAGGAAAGUGGGUACGCCUUUUA
This is a non-coding RNA of Sporosarcina psychrophila, 106 nucleotides long. NCBI's taxonomy places the organism in Bacteria, Bacillati, Bacillota, Bacilli, Caryophanales, Caryophanaceae. The record is from Rfam.